Molecule: long non-coding RNA, 1220 nt
Organism: Wyeomyia smithii (pitcher-plant mosquito)
Lineage: Eukaryota; Metazoa; Arthropoda; Insecta; Diptera; Culicidae
Exons: 4
Source: RefSeq, a predicted model, not a curated record
UAUUACCGAACGUUUUACCGAAGGCUCAGCUGUUGAAAAGUCGGUGAAAAAAGAAACGAAUUCGGUGAUUAAAUGUAAGUGUGUGGGGUCGAAGUUGUAGGCGUUUCAGUUCCUUCCUGAACUCGGAUUCUAGCAGGCAGUUGAGACCGCGAAUGAUCACUUUCAGCAGUUUGAUAUUGGGGAUGUUGUGGGUGUAGAAUUGGAAUUUACCAACAGUUAAUGCCUGUUUGACCUUGAUGUAAUCCAGGAGUGACGAGCACAUAAUUUUGAUUCUCGUACUGACUUAACGAACAGCGGUGGCACCUUGUCCUGAAUUUGUACUGGAGCUAAAUAGGAUUUCUCAAUAACGGGUAGAGCAGAGAGCGGGUUGCUUUGUAGCAGCGUUUUGUUCGAUCCAGGUUUUCUUAUUUUCUUACAAGGCUAAGUCGCAGAGCUGUUUUGAGAGAAAAAUCUGUGAAUAAAUUUUGGGCGGAGUCCAGGGCUAAUUUGCGUUUUUAACUUCAUCAUUCGGGUCCCUCCAGAACUGCCAAUUAUUAAUUUAAAAAGUUGAAAAAGUGGUUAAACGCAUGGCCGAAAUAUGUUUGCCUCUUUCUGAAACAAACAUAUUUUGGCCAUGCCCAGUUUUGACAUCUCUUUGAUUGCCGUUCGGCCGUUGCACGUGAACAAAGAAGCAGCUUGUGACAAUUUUCAGUAAUGCAACACAAACAAUUUACAAUUGAUCAGUCGUGGUUCACAUUCUCGAGUGCAAAGUUUCAACCCAAAAAAGUGAAGGUGUUAUUUUGGCUCUUGUUAAUACACCGAAAGCUUAUUACUGAGCGAUAGACAGGAUUGGCAUCUUAUUUAACCGCAUUCAAAUUCAUUCUUCACAAUGGUUAUUUCUCAGUGUCCGCAAACGAAACAACGCUACGAAUUGAAGACGGAAAUCCAUCAGAUGAUGAUCUCUCCUUGCUUCAGAGUUUUCGGAUGAGAAGUUUUCUCAUUGAAGAUGGAAUCGCGCGAUAAAUUAAUUUGGCAUAGUCAAUUAAAUUCUUACUGGCAACUAACUGACUCUUCCAUUGAACAUUUACUGAUAAAUUUUUUCAAACUACAAAUGUAACCAGCUACAUUUGAAUUUGUUCAGGUUUUUUUACGUCUGAAGAUGUUAUAGAUUAAGCAUGUAUAAACAAGUUUUGUUGGGAUUUAAAAAAGAAUUAACAAUUAGAAAUAAAAACUACAGUCUU